This 583-nucleotide ribosomal RNA is filed under the name Pseudomonas brenneri. RNAcentral describes it as "bacterial SSU rRNA". It matches the Rfam family "Bacterial small subunit ribosomal RNA", at positions 136 to 714 of the family's 1533-position model. The record is from RNAcentral. Lineage: Bacteria; Pseudomonadati; Pseudomonadota; Gammaproteobacteria; Pseudomonadales; Pseudomonadaceae.
GUGGGGGAUAACGUCCGGAAACGGACGCUAAUACCGCAUACGUCCUACGGGAGAAAGCAGGGGACCUUCGGGCCUUGCGCUAUCAGAUGAGCCUAGGUCGGAUUAGCUAGUUGGUGGGGUAAUGGCUCACCAAGGCGACGAUCCGUAACUGGUCUGAGAGGAUGAUCAGUCACACUGGAACUGAGACACGGUCCAGACUCCUACGGGAGGCAGCAGUGGGGAAUAUUGGACAAUGGGCGAAAGCCUGAUCCAGCCAUGCCGCGUGUGUGAAGAAGGUCUUCGGAUUGUAAAGCACUUUAAGUUGGGAGGAAGGGCAGUAAAUUAAUACUUUGCUGUUUUGACGUUACCGACAGAAUAAGCACCGGCUAACUCUGUGCCAGCAGCCGCGGUAAUACAGAGGGUGCAAGCGUUAAUCGGAAUUACUGGGCGUAAAGCGCGCGUAGGUGGUUCGUUAAGUUGGAUGUGAAAUCCCCGGGCUCAACCUGGGAACUGCAUUCAAAACUGACGAGCUAGAGUAUGGUAGAGGGUGGUGGAAUUUCCUGUGUAGCGGUGAAAUGCGUAGAUAUAGGAAGGAACACCAGUG